RNAcentral lists this ribosomal RNA (460 nucleotides) under uncultured bacterium. Its description in RNAcentral is "partial 16S ribosomal RNA". It matches the Rfam family "Bacterial small subunit ribosomal RNA", at positions 338 to 795 of the family's 1533-position model. The record is from RNAcentral.
CCUACGGGAGGCAGCAGUGAGGAAUAUUGGUCAAUGGACGGAAGUCUGAACCAGCCAUGCCGCGUGCAGGAAGACGGCUCUAUGAGUUGUAAACUGCUUUUGUACAAGGGUAAACCUGAAUACGUGUAUUCAGCUGAAAGUACUGUACGAAUAAGGAUCGGCUAACUCCGUGCCAGCAGCCGCGGUAAUACGGAGGAUCCAAGCGUUAUCCGGAUUUAUUGGGUUUAAAGGGUGCGUAGGCGGAUUGAUAAGUUAGAGGUUAAAUGUCCGAGCUUAACUCGGGAACUGCCGCUAAUACUGUUGAUCUAGAGAGUAGAUGCGGUAGGCGGAAUGUAUGGUGUAGCGGUGAAAUGCUUAGAGAUCAUACAGAACACCGAUUGCGAAGGCAGCUUACCAAUCUAUAUCUGACGUUGAGGCACGAAAGCGUGGGGAGCAAACAGGAUUAGAUACCCCAGUAGUC